Molecule: ribosomal RNA, 791 nt
Filed under: uncultured bacterium
Lineage: Bacteria
Description: bacterial SSU rRNA
Rfam family: Bacterial small subunit ribosomal RNA
Source: RNAcentral
AGAGUUUGAUCCUGGCUCAGGAUGAACGCUAGCGGCAGGCUUAAUACAUGCAAGUCGAACGGUAACAGGUGUAGCAAUACAUGCUGACGAGUGGCAGACGGGUGAGGAACACGUACGCAAUCUUCCUCUUACUGGGGCACAACCCGAAGAAAUUCAGGCUAAUUCCCCAUAACAUCGUGCAAGGGCAUCUGAGCACAAUUAAAACUCCGGUGGUAAGAGAUGAGCGUGCGUCUGAUUAGCUUGUUGGUGAGGUAACGGCUUACCAAGGCAACGAUCAGUAACUGGUGUGAGAGCACGACCAGUCACACGGGCACUGAGAUACGGGCCCGACUCCUACGGGAGGCAGCAGUAAGGAAUAUUGGUCAAUGGACGCAAGUCUGAACCAGCCAUGCCGCGUGCAGGAUGAAGGCCCUCUGGGUCGUAAACUGCUUUUAUCUAUGAAGAAAUCACCUGUUUCUACGGGUGUUGACGGUAAUAGAGGAAUAAGCACCGGCUAACUCCGUGCCAGCAGCCGCGGUAAUACGGAGGGUGCAAGCGUUAUCCGGAUUUACUGGGUUUAAAGGGUGCGUAGGCGGGUUGGUAAGUCAGUGGUGAAAGCCCCGAGCCUAACUCGGGAACUGCCAUUGAUACUAUCAAUCUUGAAUUCAGUUGAGGUGGGCGGAAUGUGUCGUAGCGGUGAAAUGCUUAGAUAUGACACAGAACACCAAUUGCGAAGGCAGCUCGCUAAACUGACAUUGACGCUGAGGCACGAAAGCGUGGGGAUCAAACAGGAUUAGAUACCCUAGUAGUCC